RNAcentral lists this ribosomal RNA (253 nucleotides) under uncultured bacterium. Its description in RNAcentral is "partial 16S ribosomal RNA". It matches the Rfam family "Bacterial small subunit ribosomal RNA", at positions 524 to 776 of the family's 1533-position model. The record is from RNAcentral.
UACGGAGGGGGCUAGCGUUGUUCGGAAUUACUGGGCGUAAAGCGCACGUAGGCGGACCAGAAAGUUGGGGGUGAAAUCCCGGGGCUCAACCUCGGAACUGCCUUCAAAACUAUUGGUCUUGAGUUCGAGAGAGGUGAGUGGAAUUCCGAGUGUAGAGGUGAAAUUCGUAGAUAUUCGGAGGAACACCAGUGGCGAAGGCGGCUCACUGGCUCGAUACUGACGCUGAGGUGCGAAAGCGUGGGGAACAAACAGG